This 2448-nucleotide long non-coding RNA is filed under the name Cimex lectularius (bed bug). RNAcentral describes it as "uncharacterized LOC106666973". Lineage: Eukaryota; Metazoa; Arthropoda; Insecta; Hemiptera; Cimicidae. The record is from RNAcentral.
GGAAAAUAUUUCCUUGUUGCAAAAAAAAAAAAAUACUUGCUAUGCUUAAAUAUGUAUGCAUAUAUAUGUAUACAUAUAUGUAUAUAUAUGUAUAAAUAUACAUCUUUCUUCUAAUUUGUUUUCACAUUAAGUUCUCUUUCUCUACGUACAUAUAUUAAUUAUUUUCUACAGAGAAGAUAAUAAGGAAGGAACGGGAACAGGCGCAUAAACCUGAUGUGCUGUGCUGAUGGGAAGUGAUCAAAGUUUACAGAAUAAAUAACAGACUUGGGGAAACAUACAGAUCAUAAGGAUGGAAUUGGAAACAAUACAAUUUCUUUACUGUCUUCCCAGAACCUCAGAAUGAAUUGUUGAUUUAAAACGAUUUUUUAAAAGAAUUUUAACUUCUUACAAUUUAUGCUCAUUUUGUUCUAUCUAAUCUAUAAUUUUUUUUUUUAAAUCAGUGGUUUUUUUCUUAGUGAGUUUAGUUUGAUGUUUCAAAAUACAAGUCAAAUAUUAUCAAUAAUAAUAACCCUUUUUGUAAAAAUAAACAUUUUGAAGAUGAAUAGAAAAAUAAAUGUGAAUUUGUUAAAAUGUAAAACUUCCAUAGGUACAAAGUAUGCAAUAGUUGACGAAACAAAAUGUUUUCACAUGCUGAAUUUUUAAAGGAAUUAUCAUAAGAUUUCCAUUGAUUCAAAUACUUUGAUCCUGGGAAAUUAGCAUUUUCGUUUGUUUUCUGGUAAAAAAAUAAACUCUAUUUAUCGUAACAUUUCCAUAUACUGUAUAAUUACAACACAGGGAAGGUGAAACAGAAGAAAGAGAGAGAAAGAAUGAGAGUGCGUGAGGGAGGGAGAGAGAGAGAGAAAGAGAGAGAGAGAGAGAGAGAGAGAGAGAGAGAGAGAGAGAGAGAGAGAAAAGAACAAUAAUAAAUAAAGUACACAAAUUUUUUAUCUUCCAUAUUGAGCAUUGGAUUUUUAACCAGUCAUUUCUAUAAUAUAUACCUAUGAGUCUACUGUACAAAAUCACUUUUUUUUUCUUUUAUAUGUUAUACAAUAUAUGUGUAUAAUUAAUAAUUACACCACAAAAGCAGUAUUUAUUUUUUCCAAGUUAGCAGUUUCAUUCUUCAUGCUAGAAAUCUAGCACCUAUACAUUUUUUAAUAAUAUAUUCCAUUUGAAAGCCCUAAAAGUAAUUUUAUUUUAUGUUUAAAACAAAUUCUUCGUCCCAACUUUAAAACUGCUAAUUCAUACAUUAACAUCACAUGAAUUUUUUUAAAAAUAUUAAAUUUAUAAUAUUUAAUUUUUUAUUUGUCUUAAAACAUUCUGAGAAAAUUGAGAGGUAAUUUAUUCAGCAUAAGCGGAAGAUAAUUGGAACAACCUUGAUGUUAAAAAGACAUACAAUUAAAAACAUACACAAAAUAGCUUAAAAAUGGGUUUAGGAAAACUAUCAAAUAUUUUAAUCUUUUUUUUUGUUUUUUUGCAGUGGUAACGUACAAAACUUCAGACAAAAUUUGAGUCACUCCACACUGUUGUGAAAUGUUUAGAAAUAAUGUUGAUGACUAUUUUUGAAUGCCUGGCAGUCAAGUGUAAAAAUAAAACAAUGAAAACUUAUCGAACUGCUUAAUCACUAAAACAAUGCAUGGUACACGAGGCUACUCAGAAAGUAAUUUCUGUAGGAGGGAGGAUUUUUGGUCAUUGGGUCUAUUGACUUCUUCAAGCCCGCUCUACAAAAAAAGAAAAAAAAGAGAAGAUAAAUAAGAAAUUCAAAGAUAUAAUUAUAUGUAUUUUAAAGAAUAGUUGUACCCUUGAAGCCAGCGAAGCAGAUUGAGGACUAGCUCCUCCCAUAUCUGACAUGCCACUCCACAUUUUAGGACUUUCAGAAACACCAACUGUAAACAAAAACAAAAAAGUUAAAAAUAUUUUUCAUCGUUUGUUUUGCCCACGGUAUAUCCUACUGCUUCUUUAGGUUAGAGUUUUACCUAAUCAUUUUUGGUAAGGUAUGGGCUAUAAUGAAAAGGACGAAACAGUAAUUAGACUAAACUACAUGAAGGAAGGAGUCACGAUAGAGAUGAUGAUAGCCUCAACAUGCCUUAUAACUUAUUGGGCCUCCACCAUUCUCCUGAGCACUGCAGCUUUACAGCUUAUUGUACUCCUUCAUGUCUCCAUUUUUGGGCAGCUCGCAACACGCGAGUGAACUGAGCCCUCUGUGUGCUGAUGUUCUUCCACCAAAACAACACAUUUUUUUCAGAGUCGGGGGAUCCAGGACUAUAAAAUCGAGGGUUGCUUAAAUCCGGUCCCACCCCUGAACCUUCCAUUGAUAAAUGCCGUGUCAACUUUCAUUGCAGCCACCCCCCUAUGCAUCAGACUUAACUUGGUCCUGACUUUUUGUUUCUCGCCCAUUAAAAUUACAUUAAUAAAUUUUAGGUUUUGUAAUUGUAGUUUGUAAGGUAAUAAAAAGCAAAACCCUUAAUCUGA